UCCACCGAAUGACUAAGGUUUCCUGGGGAAGGCUCGUCCUCCCAGGGUUAGUCGGGACCUAAGUCGAGGCCGAGAGGCGUAGACGAUGGAUAACAGGUUGAGAUUCCUGUACUAGUUAAGUGCGUUUGAGCAAUGGAGGGACGCAGGAGGCUAAGAUGUGCAUUCUGUUGGAUUAGAAUGUCCAAGCAGUAAGUCUUGUGGAGAGUCAAAUGCUUUUCACUUUAAGGACAAGCUGUGAUGGGGAGCGAAAUUUAGUAGCGAAGCGUCUGAUGUCACACUGCCGAGAAAAGCUUCUAGUGAGUACUUAACUACCCGUACCGCAAACCGACACAGGUAGUCGAGGAGAGAAUCCUAAGGUGAGCGAGUGAACUCUCGUUAAGGAACUCGGCAAAAUGACCCCG
RNAcentral lists this ribosomal RNA (401 nucleotides) under Lactiplantibacillus plantarum. Its description in RNAcentral is "bacterial LSU rRNA". It matches the Rfam family "Bacterial large subunit ribosomal RNA", at positions 1333 to 1730 of the family's 2925-position model. The record is from RNAcentral. Lineage: Bacteria; Bacillati; Bacillota; Bacilli; Lactobacillales; Lactobacillaceae.